RNAcentral lists this ribosomal RNA (254 nucleotides) under uncultured bacterium. RNAcentral's name for it is "partial 16S ribosomal RNA". It matches the Rfam family "Bacterial small subunit ribosomal RNA", at positions 524 to 776 of the family's 1533-position model. The record is from RNAcentral.
UACGUAGGCAGCAAGCGUUUGUUCGGAGUUACUGGGCGUAAAGGGUGUGUAGGCGGUUGGAUAAGUGUGGUGUGAAAUCUCCCGGCUCAACUGGGAGGGUGCGCUACAAACUGUCUGACUAGAGUGUGGGAUGGGUAAGUGGAAUUCCUGGUGUAGCGGUGAAAUGCGCAGAUAUCAGGAGGAACACCGAUGGCGAAGGCAGGUCUCUGGGCAUUAACUGACGCUGAGGAGCGAAAGCAUGGGGAGCGAACAGG